CAGUAGCCGCGGUAAUACGUAGGGUGCAAGCGUUAAUCGGAAUUACUGGGCGUAAAGCGUGCGCAGGCGGUUUGUUAAGACAGAUGUGAAAUCCCCGGGCUCAACCUGGGGACUGCAUUUGUGACUGGCAAGCUAGAGUCUGGCAGAGGGGGGUGGAAUUCCGCGUGUAGCAGUGAAAUGCGUAGAUAUGCGGAGGAACACCGAUGGCGAAGGCAGCCCCCUGGGCCAACGCUGACGCUCAUGCACGAAAGCGUGGGGAGCAAACAGGAUUAGAUACCCCAGUAGUCCCUGUCUCUUAUAC
This 301-nucleotide ribosomal RNA is filed under the name uncultured bacterium. RNAcentral's name for it is "partial 16S ribosomal RNA". It matches the Rfam family "Bacterial small subunit ribosomal RNA", at positions 509 to 807 of the family's 1533-position model. The record is from RNAcentral.